RNAcentral lists this long non-coding RNA (204 nucleotides) under Lathyrus oleraceus (garden pea). Its description in RNAcentral is "Pisum sativum (pea) long non-coding RNA (PSAT_LNC005443)". Lineage: Eukaryota; Viridiplantae; Streptophyta; Magnoliopsida; Fabales; Fabaceae. The record is from RNAcentral.
CAAUAUUAACUCCCUUAGUUCUACAUCAAUGAGAUCUCUACUUCUUACUAAGAAUGCCCUUCCUAGAAUGGGCGGUGUUUCAGAAUCUUGAGGAGUGUAUAGGAUCAUAAAAUUUACGGGAAGUAAUAAUCCAUCUUCUCUAACGAGUACAUCUUAAAGCAUGCAAUAUAAUCCAAUGUUAGAGUCAUUCGAGUUGGUUUCUGC